Molecule: non-coding RNA, 627 nt
Organism: Arachis ipaensis
Lineage: Eukaryota; Viridiplantae; Streptophyta; Magnoliopsida; Fabales; Fabaceae
Source: RefSeq, a predicted model, not a curated record
UCAGAGAGAGAUUAGAGAUUUUGUAACAUCAUAGAUCCAUAGCAAUUUCAGUAACAGAGUUAGGAUUCAUAUAUUUAACGUGUAAUAUUUAUGGCCCAUGAGGAAUUUGCCCAACAACGGGGUUAUUAAUUAUGGUUAACAACCUAAUCAAUAUAUCUACCUACCGUUUUCAGGGGUGGACUAAAAUCCCGACCAAAAUCUCCACCUACCACAUCAACAAACAACAAAAAUCUCUGUUGCCAUUUGCAAAUCCUUAUAUCUCCCUUUGUAAGGUGUACUGGAAUAAGAUGAGGGUGCUAUGGUCAACCUCCAUGCCGAACCAUGUUAGUGAGCUUCAGUUAAUCAAAUAUUAAUAGUUUUUCAAUUUAGUGCCGAUCACAUUUGUCUCAGCCUACUUUGAUCUUCCAUUCGUUAACUUGAAAGGAUAUUUGAAUCAGCUUUGUUGGGGCCAUGGAGAGAUGAACUACGAAGAUUGUUGAUUGGGUUCUCUUUGAUGAAUCAUUGAGGUUGAGCGGAGGCAAAUGAAUCGUAAUCAAAACCGAAACAAGAAAAGGAAAACCCAUGGACAGUAUUCAGUAGGUGAUUAAAAAAAGAUUCAAUUUUGGUCUUUGGGUACUUUUGUUUAGC